CUUUUCAAACAGUGACUAAUUAGCUGAUUAAUUAAGUAUUUCUAAGGGGGCGUUUGGUUGGGGGUAUUCUGGAAAGGGAAAGGGGAUGGGCUGAAAUGAUACCCUUUGUUGUUGUUUGUUAGACCAUUUUCGUGAUUCCCUUUACCCCUUUUUAUUUUUGGGUUCACCCAAAAUUGCUCUAAGUUGAUUACACCCCCCCCCAAGGGUUUCCCAUUCUGAUUCCCCACUUCAUUUCCCCACCCUCCUUCUCUCUCCUCUAGCCCAGAACUUUAACAACAGCACCAAGGGAAGAUGCCACACUCACGUUGCCGGCGACUACUGCUGUGAAAAUCCGUCCAUUAACUCCGAUCACUUGCUUAUCUCCGGCCGCCGUCGAGCCUAUAAAUUCACUAUACUACGAGGUUUCUCUAAUACGGAGGGAUUUUAGCAUAGCAGAACAAUUUCAAAGCAGAAGUACAACAGACCUUUGAAGCAGCAACAAUGGCGAGCACAAAAGUUCAAAGGAUUAUGGCCCAGCCUAAAUUCACUGUCUUUUCACUUCCAUUCUCAAUUUUUGUGUUUUUAUUCUUCUUCUUCUUCAAUUUAUAAUCUAACUCAUCUAUGUUGUUAAUUGGGUUUGAUAAUAGAUCCUAUAAUACCGCAGAUAAAUUGAAUAAAGGAAAGCCAUAUAUUGUAAAGUUAAUUGUGUUCUUAAUUGCUUUGUUAAAUGCUACGAAUGUCUUAUAUGUCUGUUCAAUGAAAAAAUUCACAAUAAAAGUCUAUUAUGGUGAUUAGCUGUCAUAUAUUCUUCUUCUUCUUUUUUUAAAAAAAAUUAAGAAGAAUUGAGGAAGAAAAUUUAAUCAUAUUACUUGUAUGUUUUAAACAGGUUCUUCAUAAAGACAUGUUUAUUAAUAAAUUAUACAUUUGAUUCCUUGGUUUGAACCAAACAGCCACAAAGGGAAUCAGGGUGUAUUUCAUUCCGUUUCUGGGACAUACCCAAACAGGAGGAUAGGAGCAGCGAUAAAAGGGGAGAGGGCAGUGGCAGAGGAGGAGGGAGGUUGCAGUAGAAGGUGGUCAGCGAACGAGAAUAAACCAUUGAUGGUCGGUGAAGGUGGGUUGUUGACGGCACGAUAAGGUAAGGGAAGUAGUGAGGUGUUGUUCCCAAACUUCUCAGGCAGUGCUCUUAACUUCCCUGAAAUCUUGAAGAAGAACGAUAACCUCCGCUUAAGAUCAAUAGGUUACCGAAAUCCGACCUGAAAAUGGCGGGAACCGAAUCAACAAAUAGUUAUAUGCCUCCCAAGGCGGCGUUGAUGAAGAAACGCGGCAAACUCGCCGGUAAUGCCCUAGGAAACCAAUUCUUUGCCUCCCAAGGCGGCAUUGGUAGUCUCUUCAACCUUCCUAACGAAGCCGGCCGGAAGUACGAGUUUAUUUGCAGCACCACUCCCUCAUACCACCACUACUUUAGGAAUCGACGAAGGAGUGUGAAAGUUGUCGGAGCCGGCGAACAGGGAAGGGGAAUUCGAUGUAGAGGUAGAGAGAGGAGGCGGAGAAGCCACCGAGCGAGGCAUGGAGUUGAGCAGAGCAGAGGAGUUGAAGACAAAGUUGACUUUUGUCGGAACUGGCUUUCGGCAACUAUUUCGGUGAUGGAUUUGCAAGGAAUGCGACCGGAGAGGAACCAGUCCGGGACUGGACAAGAGAGAGUUAGCUUUUGGGUGAAAUAGAUGUUGGUAGAGUAAAAGCUUUUUUUUACUAUGUCUAUAAUUAAAGUUGGGCAUUACCUAAUACUCGUACAUUUUAUAUAUAUUAUAUAAACUCGGAAACUACUAUCAUUGUUGUUCAUAAACGACUUGAAAUAAAAUUGCCAUGGUUUUUAUUUCACUCCUAUAUCAUAAGUGAUUUUUCAAAUAUACUUUCAAAAGUUAAAGUCGCGGAUUAAUUCCACCGCCUUAAUCUUUUCUAAUUGCAAUUACCUAGUAAAAUGAAUAACGAAAGAAAAAUUUACCCUACAAUAAUAACGAGAAAUAAUAAGAUAUUUAGAGAAGUGAGAUAACAAAAAUAAAAUUAAAACCUAAUUUAAAUUUAAAUGAUUAAUGUAAAAACAAAAAAUGUAAAAAUUGAUGUUGGUAUGUUUUAAAAGUUUUUUUGGCAAUGUCCAAAACUAAAGUAGGACAUUGUCUAAACUCGAACAAUAUUUUCAUAAUUGUUCAUAAACUCGAACAGUAUUUCCAUGGUUGUUAUCUCACUCAUAUAUGAUUUUUCAAAUAUACGUUCAAAACUUAAAGUUGCAGAUUGAUUCCAAGACCUUUAAUCGCUUUUUCUAAUUAAAAUAACCUAGUAUAAUAAAUAAUUAUUUUACCCAAUAUACGAGAAAUAAUGAGAUAUCUAGAGAAGUGAGAUAACAAAAAUAAAAUUAAAACCUAAUCCUACACCCUUUUAAAAGCAAGGACUGAUAUUUUACUAUUCAUUCAAUAGUUAAAAUACGAAUUUACCCUUAUUUUUCUUCACAUUUUUGUUACUACCCUUUUGCCCUAAUAUUUGAGACUACGCACCGUGCUUUCAUCCUUUGCCUUUUCUUUCUCUGAGCUCAAGCCCCCAUCCAUUCUAAUCUCUCCCUUCUGAAAUCUCUUUCGCCCCCUUCUUCUCCCUCCUGUAUCAUCGACACUUUCUCUCUCCUCAUAUCACAGCUUGCAAUUUGUGCAAGCUUGACAAGGUUUCUCUCUUCACUAUCAGUUUCUCCUGCUUCUCCCUGGUAUGAAUCUUUUCUCUGAUUUUUUGAAUUAGGGUUUUGUUCUCGCGUUUAAUGGUUGAAUUUUGUGCAUUAUGGCUGAUUUUAAUUGAAUUGGCAAACUAAUUUGGUGUUUUCAUUGUAUGAAUUUGUUUAAUUUAUGAUGGGAUCAUAUCAUUUUAAUUGAUUUUGUAUGUUUUUAGGUGGAUUUUGAUUAGAUUUUGAGAGUUAAUUUUGAAAAAAAAUUUGAAUUUCGGUUAUGUUAUUAUUUUACUAAUCUCAUAGUCGGAUUCCCUUAGCAUUUGCUAUCAUUUUUCUCCCAGGAAUGUGGUAUGGGAUGGAGUUGUGGGUGGAUCGAGAUUUCUUCCAAUGGUACACAACAAGUACACUGCAUUGAUUGCUUUGCCCUUCUUGGCGCUAAUGCAUCAGGGUUUCCCCUUCAAGACUUCAUGGGUGAUGAGUUUAUCAAUUACCCCUUCAAGAAUUCAUGGGUGAUGUAAACUCGAGAUCUUGCUCAUUUAUCAAGGUCUUUGGGUAGUUUAUGUAAAUAACUUUUUGGGAAUAAAACAAUCUCUUCGUGGUGGUUACAUAGUUAUGCAUUGUUUGGAAAAAGAGUAGAGUCAACUGGAAGAAUUCAUGAAGCUGCUGAAGAUUUGUAAGAGUUACGAAUGUUAGAACUAAGAACUGCGACCGAUGACUUAUGUCCAGCCAACAACGUGGACAAGGUGGUUUUGGGUAUGUGUAUAAGGGAAAGCUUAAACAUGGAAAAUAUAGCUGCCAUCUAAGUUAUGUCUAUUGAAUUGCAACAAGGAGUACGUGACUCUUUAACUGAGAUAAAGGUGAUCUCAGAAAUCCAGCAUGAAAACUUGGGGGAACUGUGACCUUGAUUUUACAUGGCGAACAAGUUGGAAAAUCUGCAUAUGAGUAGCUCGUGGGCUUGUUUUCAUUCAUGAUUAAGUUUUUCCACAAUAGUGCAUAGUGAAAUCAAGGCAUGUAACAUCCUGCUCGACAAAGGCCUCAGUCCCAAAAUAUCAUAUUUUUGUCUAGCCAGACGUAUGCCGUCCAAUGCCCACUCAUGUCAAUACACGGGUCAUUGGCACAUUGUUAUCUUGCUCAUGAGUAUGCAAUAAGGGGACAACUAAUUCGAAAAGCAGGUAUAUAUAGUUUUGGUGCUCUCCUGGUGGGAAUGGUCAGUGGGCGAUGUAACACGAAUAUGAAAUUGUCAAAUGGAGAUAAAUAUCUCUUGGAGCGGGUAUGA
Spinacia oleracea (spinach) is the source of this 3962-nucleotide long non-coding RNA. RefSeq lists it as uncharacterized. The record is from RefSeq and is a predicted model, not a curated record. Lineage: Eukaryota; Viridiplantae; Streptophyta; Magnoliopsida; Caryophyllales; Amaranthaceae. The transcript is spliced from 9 exons.